Lupinus angustifolius (narrow-leaved blue lupine) is the source of this 155-nucleotide ribosomal RNA. It matches the Rfam family "5.8S ribosomal RNA". Rfam says of the family: 5.8S ribosomal RNA (5.8S rRNA) is a component of the large subunit of the eukaryotic ribosome. NCBI's taxonomy places the organism in Eukaryota, Viridiplantae, Streptophyta, Magnoliopsida, Fabales, Fabaceae. The record is from Rfam.
UACUCUCGGCAUUGGAUAUCUUAGCUCUUGCAUCAUGAAGAACGUAGUGAAAUGCGAUACUUGGUGUGAAAUGCAGAAUCCCGUGAACCAUCGAUUCUUUGAAUGCAUGUUGCGCCCGAAGCCAUUAGGCCGAGGGCACGCAAGCCUGGGUGUUG